UGGGGAAUAUUGCGCAAUGGGCGAAAGCCUGACGCAGCGACGCCGCGUGGGGGAUGAAGGCCUUCGGGUUGUAAACCCCUUUCAGCAGGGACGAAGCGAAAGUGACGGUACCUGCAGAAGAAGCGCCGGCUAACUACGUGCCAGCAGCCGCGGUAACACGUAGGGCGCAAGCGUUGUCCGGAAUUAUUGGGCGUAAAGAGCUCGUAGGCGGUCUGCUACGUCCGCUGUGAAAACCUAGGGCUUAACCCUGGGCUUGCAGUAGAUACGGGCAGACUAGAGGUAGGUAGGGGAGAAUGGAAUUCCCGGUGUAGCGGUGAAAUGCGCAGAUAUCGGGAGGAACACCGGUGGCGAAGGCGGUUCUCUGGGCCUUACCUGACGCUGAGGAGCGAAAGCGUGGGGAGCAAACAGGAUUAGAUACCCCCGUAGUCC
This 429-nucleotide ribosomal RNA is filed under the name uncultured bacterium. RNAcentral's name for it is "bacterial SSU rRNA". It matches the Rfam family "Bacterial small subunit ribosomal RNA", at positions 355 to 796 of the family's 1533-position model. The record is from RNAcentral.